GGUUGUCGUCAGCUCGUGUCGUGAGAUGUUGGGUUAAGUCCCGCAACGAGCGCAACCCUUGUCAUUAGUUGCCAUCAUUUGGUUGGGCACUCUAAUGAGACUGCCGGUGACAAACCGGAGGAAGGUGGGGAUGACGUCAAGUCCUCAUGGCCCUUAUGGGUAGGGCUUCACACGUCAUACAAUGGUCGGUACAGAGGGUUGCCAACCCGCGAGGGGAGCUAAUCCCACAAAGCCGAUCGUAGUCCGGAUCGCAGUCUGCAACUCGACUGCGUGAAGUCGGAAUCGCUAGUAAUCGCAGAUCAGCAUGCUGCGGUGAAUACGUUCCCGGGUCUU
RNAcentral lists this ribosomal RNA (333 nucleotides) under uncultured Thauera sp. RNAcentral describes it as "bacterial SSU rRNA". It matches the Rfam family "Bacterial small subunit ribosomal RNA", at positions 1047 to 1382 of the family's 1533-position model. The record is from RNAcentral. Lineage: Bacteria; Pseudomonadati; Pseudomonadota; Betaproteobacteria; Rhodocyclales; Zoogloeaceae.